CUCCGACUUCAUGGGGUCGAGUUGCAGACCCCAAUCCGAACUGAGACCGGCUUUUUGGGAUUCGCUCCACCUUACGGUAUCGCAGCCCUCUGUACCGGCCAUUGUAGCAUGCGUGAAGCCCAAGACAUAAGGGGCAUGAUGAUUUGACGUCAUCCCCACCUUCCUCCGAGUUGACCCCGGCAGUCUCCCAUGAGUCCCCGGCAUAACCCGCUGGCAACAUAGGACGAGGGUUGCGCUCGUUGCGGGACUUAACCCAACAUCUCACGACACGAGCUGACGACAACCAUGCACCACCUGUGUACGAGUGUCCAAAGAGAACCCCGUCUCGGGGGCUUUCUCGUACAUGUCAAGCCUUGGUAAGGUUCUUCGCGUUGCAUCGAAUUAAUCCGCAUGCUCCGCCGCUUGUGCGGGCCCCCGUCAAUUCCUUUGAGUUUUAGCCUUGCGGCCGUACUCCCCAGGCGGGGCACUUAAUGCGUUAGCUGCGGCACGGAACUCGUGGAAUGAGCCCCACACCUAGUGCCCAACGUUUACGGCAUGGACUACCAGGGUAUCUAAUCCUGUUCGCUCCCCAUGCUUUCGCUCCUCAGCGUCAGUUGCGGCCCAGAGACCUGCCUUCGCCAUCGGUGUUCCUCCUGAUAUCUGCGCAUUCCACCGCUACACCAGGAAUUCCAGUCUCCCCUACCGCACUCUAGUCUGCCCGUACCCGAUGCAAGCCCGAGGUUGAGCCUCGGGAUUUCACACCAGACGCGACAGACCGCCUACGAGCUCUUUACGCCCAAUAAUUCCGGACAACGCUUGCGCCCUACGUAUUACCGCGGCUGCUGGCACGUAGUUAGCCGGCGCUUCUUCUGCAGGUACCGUCACUUGCGCUUCUUCCCUGCUGAAAGAGGUUUACAACCCGAAGGCCGUCAUCCCUCACGCGGCGUCGCUGCAUCAGGCUUGCGCCCAUUGUGCAAUAUUCCCCACUGCUGCCUCCCGUAGGAGUCUGGGCCGUGUCUCAGUCCCAGUGUGGCCGGUCGCCCUCUCAGGCCGGCUACCCGUCGACGCCUUGGUAGGCCAUCACCCCACCAACAAGCUGAUAGGCCGCGAGCCCAUCCCCCACCGAAAAACUUUCCAACCCACACCAUGCGAUGCGAGCUCAUAUCCGGUAUUAGACCCCGUUUCCAAGGCUUAUCCCGAAGUGGAGGGCAGGUUGCUCACGUGUUACUCACCCGUUCGCCACUGAUCCACCCAGCAAGCUGGGCUUCACCGUUCG
Molecule: ribosomal RNA, 1255 nt
Filed under: uncultured bacterium
Lineage: Bacteria
Description: partial 16S ribosomal RNA
Source: RNAcentral